GUGGCUAGUGAAGUACUGACUUGGGGGUUAAUCCAUCAUAUUUCUAUUUCGUCGCUCAUACGGCGUGCAAUAGUAUGAGUACCAUUCAUUUGAGUGGUAAUGUAUGGAUCAAUUUUUCCUCUACGCCCUGGUAAGUGGGAGCUGUGAUAGCAUGAUCGGAUACACUGCCAGUCUAGGGGAGUGUUGUUAGGUGCUGUGUCAUGCACACAUGUUUUGGUGUGCUUGGGAACAGUACCGCAUGUUGGGAAUUCCGUCCUGAGAGGCGAUGCCGUCAUUAGGGCGAUGAUGUGGGUAGUAACACGUCAUAUGCAUGGACGGGUGUCUGUGUAUGUGGGGUGUAUAGUUUUAAAUUCUUGUUGUGCAUGAUCAUACUGUGGGUGGGCUGAAAUGAGUUUCUGCAGGUACACUAACCACGUUCUCGCUUAGAACGCUAGUUAUGUUAUGAGAGAACGCUGUGUGCCACCGCAUAUACCGCUUAGUGCUAA
Molecule: long non-coding RNA, 485 nt
Filed under: Sorghum bicolor (sorghum)
Lineage: Eukaryota; Viridiplantae; Streptophyta; Magnoliopsida; Poales; Poaceae
Description: long non-coding RNA (SBIC_LNC012200)
Source: RNAcentral